This 253-nucleotide ribosomal RNA is filed under the name uncultured bacterium. Its description in RNAcentral is "partial 16S ribosomal RNA". It matches the Rfam family "Bacterial small subunit ribosomal RNA", at positions 524 to 776 of the family's 1533-position model. The record is from RNAcentral.
UACGUAGGUGGCAAGCGUUGUCCGGAUUUACUGGGCGUAAAGAGCGCGCAGGCGGUCGUGCAAGUCGCGUGUGAAAGCCCCCGGCUCAACUGGGGAGGGUCACGCGAUACUGCUCGACUUGAAGGCAGGAGAGGGAAGUGGAAUUCCCGGUGUAGUGGUGAAAUGCGCAGAUAUCAGGAGGAACACCGGUGGCGAAGGCGCCACUCUGGGCCGAAACUGACGCUGAGGAGCGAAAGCGUGGGUAGCAAACAGG